This 468-nucleotide ribosomal RNA is filed under the name Triticum aestivum (bread wheat). RNAcentral's name for it is "partial small subunit ribosomal RNA". The record is from RNAcentral. Lineage: Eukaryota; Viridiplantae; Streptophyta; Magnoliopsida; Poales; Poaceae.
AUGUAUGUACUUUAUUUUUAUUUGUUGACAGUAUCUCUAUUCCUAAUGUCUCAGUUGGUAUUCUCCGCGGUUAAUUUUCGUCCCACCACUUUCGUCCAAUUUUUUUCGCUGGUUUUUUUCGUCCCCUCCUCACCCCACGCACGCAGCCAAAAAACACCCCGCAAAAAACCGCUCCUAUCGAUCCGUCGAGGACACAGAGCCGCCGAUCCGCUCCUCCCCGAUGCCGAUCCGGGCAGACGCGCCCGUCGUGGAUCACGAGCGCCCGUCGCGGAUCAGGAUCCUCAGGACGCCGCCGCCGCCGCGGAUCCACUGCCACGCACAGCUCGGGCCCGAGCCGCGAUGGGCUCGGCUAUGGCCGCUGCCGCGUGCGCCCUUCGUCUCCAGGCUCGGCGAGCCCCACCGCCAGCCACCCCCAACCCACAUCGGCGUCAAGCUAUCUCCUUGGUGCUGUUGUCCUCGAUAGGCUAA